UCUACUAAAAUCAAAAACAUAUUAGCUGGGUUUGAUGACACAUGCCGGUAGUUCCAGAUACUUAUGAGGCUGAGGCGGGAGGAUCACUUGAGCCCAGGAGAUUGUGGCUGCAGUGAGCUAUGAUGACACACCCUGGCAACUGUUUGCUGCUGAGUAACUGCUUACCUUACACAGAUCUGUAACGGAUGUCACCACUUCAAAGAACUGUAAUCCUGUGUUUGAUACACUCCUCCUGCCCCCAGGACAGUAUCUGUGUGAGAGAAGGGAAGCCGGGGACCCAGAAACGGUCUGCAGGGAGGUGAGCUGGAAUGGCAAUAAAUGGUACACGGAAGAGCUUUGCGUCUAAUGAUGACCUUCAGCUUUCCUGCUGCUUUCUGCCUAGGUUUUGUUUCUAAGUAUCUGGGCUUUGAAGGAUGGGGGUGGAGGGAUUCAAAGAAGAUGUUUAGGAGGAGCCAAUCCCACUAGCAGAUAUUGUUGCUCUAACUCUGCCUGAGGAGCAAUUUCUGGCCUUGAGUUAUGAUCCCAAACAGGAAGUGCUUCUGAGUUCCUCCAAACAAGGUUUUUGCUACUUCAGGAAACCGUAGUUGUUGGCUGAUAGAAAAAUUACAGCAGCAUUAUACAGUUCUUCUAUUGAGGAAAACCAGACCAGCCACUCAAGUAAUGAACCCCUCAUGACAUCUAACCAAAACUGCCGCUGAGUCUUUUGUUCCAGAAUGUUUGCGCUCUAUGGCCAGGAAAAGUCGCUUACUGGUAACCAUCUACAGAUUGAAACUCCUCUUGGGAUCCUGACCAAGUAAGGACACAGUGAGAAGACAAC
Long non-coding RNA from Cercocebus atys (sooty mangabey), 817 nucleotides. RefSeq lists it as uncharacterized. NCBI's taxonomy places the organism in Eukaryota, Metazoa, Chordata, Mammalia, Primates, Cercopithecidae. The record is from RefSeq and is a predicted model, not a curated record. The transcript has 5 exons.